Long non-coding RNA from Chiroxiphia lanceolata (lance-tailed manakin), 4680 nucleotides. RefSeq lists it as uncharacterized. The transcript has 3 exons. The record is from RefSeq and is a predicted model, not a curated record. Lineage: Eukaryota; Metazoa; Chordata; Aves; Passeriformes; Pipridae.
UGUAUAAUGCUAAUUUGGUAUUGUACCAAGCCAAACACACCACACUGGCAUGAAUUUCAGCUAACCAAAACUAAUAUUAUCUCACUUGCAUCCUCAGUCUGUUUAUUAACACCUCUUUGCACUUACAAUGCUGUGAGUACAGAAACUUAAUCACAAACCCUAGAAGUAACUGAUUAACAUGUUACUGCUGAUCAGCUAAAUUGCAGUAUCUGACAAGAUACCUGUUCCUAUAAUACAUCACAAAAUAAAAUGUGUUCUGCUUUGUACUGGCACUGUACUGAGAUAUGGAUUAAAUGAAAGCCAUAGACGUGGUCUUUUUUUUUCCCCCCUGAAGAAAAUCCACAGAAAUCACCUGGCCCCAUGCUGGCAAGCUUGCAGAAUUCAAAAAGCUGUAACUUAGCAGCCUUAGACUGGAAAGAAGCAUAAUCAACAAGGAAGUAAAAUUUACUGUCUGUGUUCUUAUUCAAAGCAAUGCCUUGAAGCAGAAGGAUUUUGAACAGUUCUCUGUGCUCAGUGCACAUCCACAACCAGGGUGUGACCUGGAGACAGAAGGCCAGGGAAUGAGCUACUGGAAGCCUGAUUUCAGAACUCGUUGGCUGGUUCAGCAUAAAAGUACAACCCUGAGGGCUUCAAGGAACAUUUACAAAAAGCAGCAAUUACAGAGGAGAAGAUGCACAUUGGAUGGGCAAUGCAGGAGCCAUGACAUGAGAAAUCCUCCAUUAUUCAGAUCUACCAAAUCACCGCUGCCUUCCACUGGCAAACUAAAAAAAGUAGCUUCAACAUCCCAGAAAAUCACAGUUUCUAUCAAAGUUAGAUCAUAAUUCAAGCACUGUGAAAGAGCAAGGAAAAAGAAAUACCAAAGAUUUAGAACAGCAAUGCUAAAUAGAGCAAGAAGAAUGCCAGUACACAUGUAUCUGUUUUAAGUUACAGACAGCAUCAAUUAGGUUUCUUCCUUAAAGCCUCCUGAAACGAGCAAACUCUCCUUAUAAUAUUUAAAUCAUGCAGUAUUUCUUAAGAAGCCAAACACAGGAAAAUGAGAAUGCACCAAUUCACUACUAAUUUUGCGUUUUUACUGCAUUCACUGCACAUUUCCUUCCUCUUGAAUUGACUUAUCCCUAUUUAUCAGGAUAUUGAUUUUUAUAUAAGAAUGUUAGAAGAAUUUUCAUGCAUUUUUUUGGUGGAAAAAUAAAAGACAGUACAGUAAAAAGACACAAAAAUUCCCCUCCAAAAAGUGUAAUACAUAUCUAAAUAUAAUACUCAUAUCAUCCACCUAACUAAUGUGCAAGAAUCAUAUAUUGCAAUUCUUUGCCAAUCCUUCUAAGUAGUUAAUAUUACACAUAGACAUACUAUGGAGAAUAGAUAACCAAAGAGCUCCACAUCCAACAACCAGAUUAGAAAUUAAACAAACAAAAGAAAAAUCGUUGUUCCUUUGGAUUAAAAUUUUAGAUUAUUUAUCAUUCUAGGUUGAGACUCCACAAGUGUUUCCAGUAGACAAAUAUCUCAGAGUUUGUGAUCAACCAAUACUUUAGCAGAAUCCCAUGCUUUUCAGGUAUGGUGUUCAGGGAACAGAAAACUAGGUUGCUUGAUUUUGCUUUUUUAGAUAUGUACGGCUAUCAAGAACAGAAAAAUUGCAACAUAUCCUUUCUGAAUUUUCAUUUUGAAUCAAAGGGAAAAAAACCCCUUCCUUCACAGACACACAUUAUUUUACUUCACUAUUAGUGAAGUAAAAGUAUUUGCUUUUACUUCACUAGCAAACCCAUUGAGAGGGCAUGUAAAUCCUGUGGGAUGACUCACUAGGAACAAAAUUGUAAGAAGUCAGUCAACAGCAUUACAGAAAAUAUCUUUCCACUUGUUACAGCCAAGGGACACUAAGUACAUUGGUUUUUUUUUUUCCCUUGUUCAAAAACAAAUGUUACAUUCAAAAAGCUGCAUUAAUUCAAGAUACAUGACUGAUUUUAUAUGCAAGAACAGUUUUCCAAGUAAUAUCUUUGAACACAGCACAAGUUUUGGCAUCAAACCUAAGUAACAUACUAGAACAAAUUACUGAGGAAAGUUGUGAUCCUCUGUUAUUACUAUUCUGCAUGCUUAUUUUUCUGAUUAAGCUAGGAACAAGUUCACAAAACUUCUUGGGACAGAAGUUUUUCUUUUUUACCUUUACUUCCGCAAAGGUAAAAAAGUAAGCCAUUGCUCCCUGUCUGUACUCUUUGUAGGAGACAAAAAACCUAAACAAAGAAGGAAGCAAACUACCUCUGGACACAAAAAUGAAGGCAAUGAUUUGCAGCCAUAUGCUCCUUUUAGGAAAUUUGGCCCUCAAACUGGAAAAUGUCCUUAUGUCUCUGUUGUGCUUGCCCUAUUUUGUCUGAAUAAAAGAAAAGAUUCCUUGAAUAACAUCAGUCAUGGCACACUGUUAAGUGGGCUCUAUUGCAAGCAGUCUUUACCUGCAGUAUCUGCUGACAAAGACCAGCUAUUGGAAUAGUACUCUGCAGUGAACACUCUCCUGUGGAAGCUGCUGUACUGAAAAAAACACAUUUAGCAAAUCUGGAAGAAGUUUUAUUUUGGAAACAUUUUCAGAAAGAAGGAAAGAGUUCAGGAAACGUUGCUGACUUCCUGAGAACGUGGAGUACCUUCACCAUGAAUCACUCGAGACCAUCGUGGGUUUCAUAAAAGCAAAAUUAUACAACAAAACAUUUUAGGAACAGCUUACCAAUUAAGCAAUUGGAUAUGGUUUGCUAAACAAAACCCCACAUCUGUGAUUUGGGAGAAAAACUGAUCCUCAGCCAGAUGAACAACAAGGAGAUGAGUGAACUGCUUUAACUGAUGUAGGUCUCAUGUUACAGAAGGUGUUCAGAACACAAUUUUCAACCAUCUUUAAUAUUUACUAUUCCAUUUCAAAAGAUUAAUAUUUCCAAACAACAGAUUAUUUUAAAAUAUAGACGAGGGAACAGGAAAUUAGGAGAUAUGCUUAUGUAUGUGUCUUUCUACCCUUGGUUACCUGUGGUGCAAGAUGCUAAUGGAAUUCUGACAUUAAUAAAUAAAGAUAGAUAAAGAUCUGAUUUGUUGGCUUGAUAAAUAGAUGAUAUUAAAAAUCUAAACUUUCAAUGUAAGUUUUUGAAGAAGUUCAUUCAGCAGCUUGACAGUCCUCUGGUUUCCUUCUCCAUGAUGUUUAAAUCUGUAUGCAGUACGGGUAAGAAGGCUAUAAACUUCCUUGCUUGUAUCAGUUGUCUCAGUAAUCUGAAGGAAAACAGAGAAGAUGGGAAAUAAUGCAAUUAUGUUGCUAAAUACUAAAAAUUCUCCAUUAAUAUUUACAACAAAACCACAGAUUUGUCCCUCACCACUGAACAUGUGAGAAGCAACUUCUGCCCAAGGUAUCUCUUUUCAUUCACUUUAGUGGAACUGAGCAACUUUGAGAUUUUCUACUGUUCUCUCAAGUUUAAGUGAAACAAAUCAAGAGGUCAGAAACUAUUUAAAGGAAACACAAAUGGACAGACAGUGUAACCAUUUCUAAGUCAUCUCCAGAAAAAAACAACUAAAAACACAUGAAGGUUCUGCGUGUGUCCGGGGAGAAAAUUCAAUUCUGUAAAGCUUUCAAAAGUAAAAAUAAAUCCCUCCCCCAGAAGAUGACAGAAUACCAGGGAAAGAUCCUAAGCUGCAAUUUUUGCAGAUCAGGAGGGACUUUACUCCUUGUUAUUUGCUGUGUUAAACCGGAAGUUUACUAUGCUAACCAAAACCACAGCCAUGCAUCCCAAAUUAGUUCAACACCAUUCUGCCUUUCAUAUAUUGCCUUCAGUCCUUUUCAAAUCACAUGGAGAGCCUUGCUACACAUUAAUGAUUAUACAAAUACAGUCAAAAUUAAUUAGACUGACAAACUCUGGCCUACAAGAGCUCACAACCACGCUGCACUCAGUUUAGAAAGUUAUGUUGCUUCCUAUGAAGAAGCAAGAGAUUGCCUUUGGUCUUUCUGAAGAGGUUUAAAGUAACAGGCCGGUACAUUACAACAUCACAGCUCAACAGCUGCAUUACUCAAGAGAAACUAGAAACAGCAGACUGUAAAUAUACAUAUCCCUCCCCCCAGUUUUAUCACUAUAUUCUUAUGCUAAGAAAAAAGUUGUUCAUUUUUAAACUUGCACCUAAAAUGUGAGAAUUAUCUUAGCCCUUCCUAAACAGAGAAAUGUUUUGUCUGUUUACUCAGACAGCUGUAUCAUAAAAUCAGAUGCCUUACACAUGCCAUAUACCCUAUAAAGAUAGAAGAGCACUCUGCUGCUGAAAGGAAAACCCUUUGGAAGUGUUAAAACUACACACUGGCCCUAGACGUGCUUGCAUAGGAGUCGUGAACUUCUUCAAAUAAUAUGGUUUUAUAGUUAGGAAAGAAUUCUUAAUCUCACACUGAGAUAGCACUAUCUUAAGAGACACAAACACAUUUUGAAGUUUGCACCAAUAUUCCUGAAGGCUGUUAUCAGCAACAAGAAGAUACUGUGGUAACCUUCCAACCUUUUACUCCUCUUCAGCUUUUAUCACACCCUAAGAGACACUGUCUGAGCUCUUCAUUCUUUCCUUCUCUCUCAGUUACCACACUGUUCUCCUCAUUGGCUUUGCUAAAUCACCAGGCUUCUCUCACAUCAAUGCUAACACCUAGUAACCACCUGCUCUACCUAAUGGAAAACAGGUAAAAAUGAGAAGAGA